UACGUAGGGGGCUAGCGUUAUCCGGAAUUACUGGGCGUAAAGGGUGCGUAGAUGGUUUCUUAAGUCAGAGGUGAAAGGCUACGGCUCAACCGUAGUAAGCCUUUGAAACUGGGAAACUUGAGUGCAGGAGAGGAGAGUGGAAUUCCUAGUGUAGCGGUGAAAUGCGUAGAUAUUAGGAGGAACACCAGUUGCGAAGGCGGCUCUCUGGACUGUAACUGACACUGAGGCACGAAAGCGUGGGGAGCAAACAGG
This 252-nucleotide ribosomal RNA is filed under the name uncultured bacterium. RNAcentral describes it as "partial 16S ribosomal RNA". It matches the Rfam family "Bacterial small subunit ribosomal RNA", at positions 524 to 776 of the family's 1533-position model. The record is from RNAcentral.